Molecule: ribosomal RNA, 420 nt
Filed under: uncultured bacterium
Lineage: Bacteria
Description: partial 16S ribosomal RNA
Rfam family: Bacterial small subunit ribosomal RNA
Source: RNAcentral
AUCUUCCGCAAUGGACGAAAGUCUGACGGAGCAACGCCGCGUGAGUGAAGAAGGUUUUCGGAUCGUAAAACUCUGUUGUCGGAGAAGAACAAGUAGGAGAGUAACUGUUCCUACCUUGACGGUACCCGACCAGAAAGCCACGGCUAACUACGUGCCAGCAGCCGCGGUAAUACGUAGGGGGCAAGCGUUGUCCGGAAUUAUUGGGCGUAAAGGGUGCGUAGGCGGCCUUUUAAGUCAGAUGUGAAAGCCCACGGCUUAACCGUGGGACUGCAUUUGAAACUGGAGGGCUUGAGUAUCGGAGAGGGUAGUGGAAUUCCCAGUGUAGCGGUGGAAUGCGUAGAUAUUGGGAGGAACACCAGUGGCGAAGGCGACUACCUGGACGAAAACUGACGCUGAGGCACGAAAGCUAGGGGAGCAAAC